This 370-nucleotide ribosomal RNA is filed under the name uncultured bacterium. RNAcentral describes it as "bacterial SSU rRNA". It matches the Rfam family "Bacterial small subunit ribosomal RNA", at positions 146 to 509 of the family's 1533-position model. The record is from RNAcentral.
GCCCGUAGAAAUAGCGGAUUAAUACCCUAUGUUUUCCGGUAGACGGCAUCUGAACUGGAACAAAGAUUGAUCGCUAAGGGAUGGGGAGUGCGUACGAUUAGGUUGUUGGCGGGGUAACGGCCCGACCAAGCCUGCGAUCCGUUAGGGGUUCUGAGAGGAAGGUCCCCCACACUGGUACUGAGACACGGUCCUAACUCCUACGGGAGGCAGCAGUGAGGAAUAUUGGUCAAUGGGCGUAAGCCUGAACCAGCCAAGUAGCGUGAAGGAUGACUGCCCUAUGGGUUGUAAACUUCUUUUACGGGAGGAUAAAGUGCCGUACGCGUACGGUAUUGCAGGUAUCCCGUGAAUAAGCAUCGGCUAAUUCCGUGCC